This is a non-coding RNA of Schizosaccharomyces pombe (fission yeast), 923 nucleotides long. The record is from the annotation of a GenBank genome assembly. NCBI's taxonomy places the organism in Eukaryota, Fungi, Ascomycota, Schizosaccharomycetes, Schizosaccharomycetales, Schizosaccharomycetaceae.
UACAUAUCUGUAGAUCACCUUUUUUAGGUUCUCGAUGAAUUCCACAUCCAACUCUUGAUCGGUAAACCAGGGGCCUCCUGUAAGCUCUGUACUAGGAACUAAAUCAUAUAGCAUGUAUAUUUUUCGAGUCGGAUUUUUUACACUCUUAAUAGACUUGACGAGAUUUUUUGACUCGAGCGACUUCAGACAUCUAUCAACAACAGAAACAUGCAAGUUAGUCCUUAGUGUUAAGGUUUUCCUCCAUAUUCCCUCGUUGCCAGAAUUCUUGAUAAAACUGUACACGAUUUGUUCAUCGCCCUCCAUGGUAGAAACACUAAAAAGAAGAAUGUUAGCAUUGACAAAACAAAAAUCAUGAUUAAAAUUGGCGUAAAAACUUUAUAUUAUACUACAAUAAGAGAUCAAGAAAUGCAUUGAGUUUCUGACAUUUAAAACUUGAUCAACAACGAAAAGCUUAAACAGUUAAACUUUUCGGUGAGUACCGACUUACGUUUUAGCUUCAUCCAAUCGAACAGCCCGAUAUACGAGAACAUUUCCUUGCCGCAAAGGAUCCAAAAGUCGCCGACUUAGAAGGAUAUUUAAAGCACUACUAAGAUCGUUCACGGAUAUCGAAGCGCCAAUCGCUUCUACUAAAUCCUGUUGUGAAAGCGAAUUUGGGAUCUGUUUUAAGCAAUGCUCGUAUAUAACUUUGGCAUUCUUAGGAAGAGUACGCAGUUGGUCGGCCAUGUUGAAAGUGAAAGAUAAAAGUUUUCUGUUGAGGGUUUAACCACGUUUGCCCGCAGUAUUUUUGGGCGUUGUAUGGUAUUCCAAUAUACCCAAUAUACUAUAAUAAAUUAUUUUAAACUAAAAAUGAAAAGAAGAGACAAAAAUUUUCAACUUUUACGAGGCUCUCCUCAUCAACCAAAAACCACCUCGGUUGGAGUGGC